Molecule: ribosomal RNA, 397 nt
Filed under: uncultured bacterium
Lineage: Bacteria
Description: bacterial SSU rRNA
Rfam family: Bacterial small subunit ribosomal RNA
Source: RNAcentral
AACGAACGCUGGCGGCGCGCCUAAUACAUGCAAGUCGAGCGAGAAGACGUAGCAAUACGUUUGUAAAGCGGCGAACGGGUGAGGAAUACAUGGGUAACCUACCCUCGAGUGGGGAAUAACUAGCCGAAAGGUUAGCUAAUACCGCGUACGCUCCUUGGACUUCGGUUCAGGGAGGAAAGCGAUACCGUGGGUAUCGCGCUCUUGGAUGGGCUCAUGUCCUAUCAGCUUGUUGGUGAGGAACGGCUCACCAAGGCUUCGACGGGUAGCUGGUCUGAGAGGACGAUCAGCCACACUGGCACUGCGACACGGGCCAGACUCCUACGGGAGGCAGCAGUAAGGAAUAUUGCGCAAUGGGCGAAAGCCUGACGCAGCGACGCCGCGUGGGGGAGUGAAGGUC